RNAcentral lists this ribosomal RNA (301 nucleotides) under uncultured bacterium. RNAcentral's name for it is "partial 16S ribosomal RNA". It matches the Rfam family "Bacterial small subunit ribosomal RNA", at positions 509 to 807 of the family's 1533-position model. The record is from RNAcentral.
CAGCCGCCGCGGUAAUGCGAAGGGGGCUAGCGUUGUUCGGAUUUACUGGGCGUAAAGCGCACGUAGGCGGACUUUUAAGUCAGGGGUGAAAUCCCGGGGCUCAACCCCGGAACUGCCUUUGAUACUGGAAGUCUUGAGUAUGGUAGAGGUGAGUGGAAUUCCGAGUGUAGAGGUGAAAUUCGUAGAUAUUCGGAGGAACACCAGUGGCGAAGGCGGCUCACUGGACCAUUACUGACGCUGAGGUGCGAAAGCGUGGGGAGCAAACAGGAUUAGAUACCCCGGUAGUCUCUGUCUCUUAUAC